This 460-nucleotide ribosomal RNA is filed under the name uncultured bacterium. Its description in RNAcentral is "partial 16S ribosomal RNA". It matches the Rfam family "Bacterial small subunit ribosomal RNA", at positions 338 to 795 of the family's 1533-position model. The record is from RNAcentral.
CCUACGGGAGGCAGCAGUGAGGAAUAUUGGUCAAUGGCCGGAAGGCUGAACCAGCCAUGCCGCGUGAAGGGCAGGGGCCUACGGGCGUUAAACUUCUUUUGUGCGGGAGCAAUAAUGGUCACGUGUGGCCAGACGAGAGUACCGUACGAAUAAGCAUCGGCUAACUCCGUGCCAGCAGCCGCGGUCAUACGGGGGAUGCAAGCGUUAUCCGGAUUUAGUGGGUUUAAAGGGUGCGUAGGCUGUGAGGUAAGUCAGCGGUGAAAUGCCCCCGCUCAACGGGGUGAAGUGCCAUUGAUACUGCCUUGCUGGAGUGCGGAUGCGGUGGGAGGAAUGUGUGGUGUAGCGGUGAAAUGCAUAGAUAUCACGCAGAACACCGAUUGCGAAGGCAUCUCACGAAUCCGCGAUUGACGCUGAUGCACGAAAGCGUGGGUAUCAAACAGGAUUAGAUACCCUGGUAGUC